GUGCUCACUUUGGCAGCACAUAUACUAAAAUUGGAACAAUACAGAGAAGAUAGCAUGGCCCCUGUGCAAGGAUGACACACAAAUUCAUGAAGCGUUCCAUAUUUUA
RNAcentral lists this small nuclear RNA (106 nucleotides) under Mustela putorius furo (domestic ferret). Lineage: Eukaryota; Metazoa; Chordata; Mammalia; Carnivora; Mustelidae. The record is from RNAcentral.